UGGGGCGUGGCCAAGUGGUAAGGCAGCAGGUUUUGGUUCUGCCAUCCGGAGGUUCGAAUCCUUCCGUCCCAG
This 72-nucleotide transfer RNA is filed under the name Pellia epiphylla. Its description in RNAcentral is "tRNA-Gln". It matches the Rfam family "tRNA". Rfam says of the family: Transfer RNA (tRNA) molecules are approximately 80 nucleotides in length. Their secondary structure includes four short double-helical elements and three loops (D, anti-codon, and T loops). Lineage: Eukaryota; Viridiplantae; Streptophyta; Jungermanniopsida; Pelliales; Pelliaceae. The record is from RNAcentral. RNAcentral also lists the same sequence under 1 other name.